Cnephaeus nilssonii (northern bat) is the source of this 71-nucleotide non-coding RNA. The record is from the annotation of a GenBank genome assembly. NCBI's taxonomy places the organism in Eukaryota, Metazoa, Chordata, Mammalia, Chiroptera, Vespertilionidae.
GCCAGCGUGACUCAGUGGUUGAGCAUCGAGCUAUGAACCAGGAGGUCAUGGUUUGAUUCCAGGUUAGGGCA